UAUAUAAAAAUGAGGAAUAUGGGGGUUAUAGGACGCUCCCCCAAGGUAUAGAAUGUCACAGAAACAUUCCGUUACUUUAGGUGGCUGCCCAGCUGGACAGUCUUUGCACCCUUUUAAAAUACUUCUGAUUUUAGGAUUCAAGUGAUGUUAAAUCUUUUCAUAGCUCAAUUGCUUGUUUCAAUUCAAGACAUACAUGGGGUCAAAUUCAGAGCUGUGUAAUUCAAUUGAGUUGUUCCCUUUGACACCAUAGCUAUAUUGGCUCCUGGUGUAUGUUCUGUCCUUCGGAACUCAGACUGGGUUGAAGCUGAAACCAGAGGAUGUUUUACCAACUAUAUUCAGAGAUAAACCUGGUGAACAAUAUCUUCUCUGAGUCAGUGACUGAUGAUUUCAUACAGGCCCCCUUUAGCUUCUUAAAAUAAACCUGUCAUCACUGCCUCCACAAACUUACCAGUCUGGGAAGCAAGAGGCCAGCAAGCUGGAUCUUUUAUAGCAGUGCAGAGAACGAACUCCAGAAUUAUUGGGUGGUCACUUGGUCUCUGGGUGAGAUACUUGGGAGCUGUGCAGGAUGAUCUCAAGGAGCCUCUCAGCUGUGGAAUUCCCUAUCAGCAGAGACAGGAUCGGCUCUGAAUUCUCUUCCCAUUAACUGGUGCUUCAGCUGUUACCUACCUCUGAACAUCCUGACUCUUAAAUCUCAGCAGUACUGUUGCUCUA
Trachemys scripta elegans is the source of this 711-nucleotide long non-coding RNA. RefSeq lists it as uncharacterized. The transcript has 3 exons. The record is from RefSeq and is a predicted model, not a curated record. Lineage: Eukaryota; Metazoa; Chordata; Testudines; Emydidae.